UUAUUUUAAAAACACCUAAUCUAGGCAAAAAUAAUGGGGGUUUAGUUACAUUAAAAAUAAACCCCCAUUAUUUUUGCCUAGAUUAGGUGUUUUUA
RNAcentral lists this microRNA precursor (95 nucleotides) under Pelobates cultripes (western spadefoot toad). Lineage: Eukaryota; Metazoa; Chordata; Amphibia; Anura; Pelobatidae. The record is from RNAcentral.